AGUGAACGCUGGCGGUAGGCCUAACACAUGCAAGUCGAACGGCAGCACAGUAAGAGCUUGCUCUUACGGGUGGCGAGUGGCGGACGGGUGAGGAAUACAUCGGCAUCUACUUUUUCGUGGGGGAUAACGUAGGGACACUUACGCUAAUACCGCAUACGACCUACGGGUGAAAGCAGGGGAUCUUCGGACCUUGCGCGAUUGAAUGAGCCGACGUCGGAUUAGCUAGUUGGGGGGGUAAAGGCACACCAAGGCGACGAUCCGUAGCUGGUCUGAGAGGAUGAUCAGCCACACUGGAACUGAGACACGGUCCAGACUCCUACGGGAGGCAGCAGUGGGGAAUAUUGGACAAUGGGCGCAAGCCUGAUCCAGCCAUACCGCGUGGGUGAAGAAGGCCUUCGGGUUGUAAGGCCCUUUUGUUGGGAAAGAAAAGCAGCAGGUUAAUACCCCGCUGUUCUGACGGUACCCAAAGAAUAAGCACCGGCUAACUUCGUG
RNAcentral lists this ribosomal RNA (492 nucleotides) under uncultured bacterium. Its description in RNAcentral is "partial 16S ribosomal RNA". It matches the Rfam family "Bacterial small subunit ribosomal RNA", at positions 29 to 507 of the family's 1533-position model. The record is from RNAcentral.